UCUUUCAUUGCAGCUGCAAAGAAAUCAGGCUGCCUCCAUUGUGAGCCGGGAAGCCGGGCUGCGCCGGGGAGGUGUGAUCUUGCCAGCCAGGGACUUUCUCAUUGUUGCAAUUGGUCGCCCUGGCGUCCUAGAGCAGCCCCGGGCUCUGCCGACACCAGCUCCCGAGCCGGAGCCUGCAGGGGCUAGUGGCUUUCGAGGUCUGUGUAUCUCACCAUGGAUCAGUGGGCUGCUGUGGAUCCUGAUCAGAAACCUUUGUGCAGGGGUGGCAUACAGGAGAACGAUGAUCCCCUGGUGAUUCUGAGGCCUGACUCCUGUGCGGAUUCUCUCCCUACCCCAGCCGGGGACAGGGCAGCGAGUGAGACUGAGGAGGAGAAUCCCGGGGAGGAAGGCCCCGAGAUCGUGGAAUUGGAUCCAGCAUUGCUGGGCAGGCUGGAGGGGGCUGGGGCCAGGAGCCCGGAGGAGCAGGGUCCAGACUGUGAGAGCCUGCGCUGGACGGUGGUGCAGCAGAUUGACUCCCCCGGGAAGCCGGCGCAGCGGCGGGGCGGCGGGGGCAAGUCAGCUGGCGCCAGCUUCCAGAACUUCAAGAGCAUCAUCGUGCUGCAGAAGAGCUACGAGUGUGGCGAGUGCGGCAAGACCUUCAGCUGCAGCUCGCACUUCAGCAAGCACCGGCGCACCCACACCGGCGAGAAACCCUUCUGCUGCCUGCACUGCGGGAAGAGCUUCAAUGUCAGCUCCAACCUCUACCGCCACCAGCGGGCCCAUGCCGCCGAGCGGACCUGCCCAUGCCCCGAGAGCUCCCCACCGCCGGUGCCAGUGAGCGCCCCCAACCCCGCCACUCCUCGGCCCCGGGGGCUGCCAUACAAGUGCGAGGAGUGCGGCAAGAGUUUCCGGCGCAACACAGAACUGGUGACCCACCAGCGGCUGCACACGGGGCGCUUGCCCUUCCAGUGCACCCACUGUGGGAAGAGCUUCUCCUGGAGCUCCCACUUCGACCGGCACCAGCGCAUCCACACAGGCGAGAAGCCCUACCAGUGCCCCGAGUGCGGGAAGUGCUUCAGCCGCAGCUCCCACCUCUACCGGCACCAGCGCACCCACGCUGGGGGCCGCUCCUAUAUCUGCACCUACUGCGGGCGCAGCUUCAACAGCACCCUGCACUUCGACCGGCACCAGCGCACCCACACCGGCCUGCGCCCCUACAAAUGCACCCUAUGUGGCAAGGGCUUUGGCGAUGGGCUGGCCCUGGUCAAGCACCAGCGCCUGCAUCUAGGCGAUGGGCCCUUCCACUGCGAGGAGUGCGGCAAGAGCUUCGGGGCGAGGGCGCAGUAUGCCCGGCACCGGCGCAGCCUGCACGGUGCCGCCGCUGCCAACACCGGCGGCGAGAAGCCCUACCGCUGUGGCGACUGUGGCAAGAGCUUCUCCUGGAGCUCCCACUGGGAACGACACCAGCGUAUCCACACUGGGGAGCGCCCCUACCAGUGCGGCGACUGCGGCAAGCGCUUUGGCCGCACCUCCCACCUCUACCGGCACCAGCGCACCCAUGCCGGCGGCCAGCCCCACGUCUGCGCCGACUGCGGCAAGAGCUUCAACAGCACCUUGCACUUCCACAAGCACCGGCGGGCCCACGCAGGUGAAGCCCCCUGCCAUGCCUGCCCCGACUGCGGAAAGGCCUUCGCUGACGGCUCCGCUCUGGCCAAGCACCGGCGCACCCACACUGGAGAGCGGCCCUUCCCUUGCCCCCAGUGUGGACGGCGCUUCAGUGUCAGCUCUCACCUGUACCGCCACCUGAGGAGCCACACCGAGGAGAAGCCGCUGGAGGAGAUCGCAUCCUACUAGAGAUCAACUCCUCUUCCCCCUUUACCUGGGAGAGGAACCCCCCCAUGCUGGAGGUUUAGCUCACCUGGACCUGGCUGCCCCUCUCUGGGCACGGGAGUGAACCCCAUGCACUGCCAGCCAGAGCGUUAGUGGGGCUUACCUCACAGGGAUCUGACCAUGGGGAUCGCCGACCUGCAGGGGUAGCUGAGACCUCUAGGAGAGCAGUGGGCAACCCCAUUGUGGGCAUUCUGGGGCCACAGGGACGGGUGCAGUGUAAGGUCCCAGUCUGGAGCCCCUUGAAGGGCUCCACGUCGAUGGGGGUCUGGAUCAGCCCUGAGGAUAUAGGUAGAUAAGGUAGAUUAGGUAGGUAGGAUAGGUAGGAGGUAGAGCAGAGUGGUGGCUGUACUAGGGGGCUGGGCAGGGUGGAAAUAAGAGAGGGAGAAUGUUAAAUGGUGUGUGAUUGAGGGCGGAUUACCCUCUCGCUCGCUCCGGUGUAAAUCAGGAAUAUACUCACCGGCGUCAUGGGGGCUGAUUCCCCUCUCAUUCACUCUGGUGUAAAUCAGGAAUAACCCCACUGGAGUAACUGGGGCCAAUUCCCCUCUCGCUCACCCCAGUGUAAACCAGGAGUAACCCCACUGGGGUUAGUGCAGUUACAGGAGUGUGGAGGCAAGGGCGAAUGGGUGAUCGGAGCUGGGGCGGGAGGCAGUAUCUGGGGAUCAGGCAGGUGGGGCAGGAGGUGGCGAGGAAGAUGGGAACCAGACUGGGAGGGGAAAUGAAGUGUUUGGGGAUUGGAGUGUCUGUGCGGUGGGAGCAAGAGAGGGAUGUGGGUGAUGGAGGACUGGCAUGUCUGUGGACUGGGCUGGUGGGGCAGAUAUGGCACUGCUAGGGGUCUCCAGACUGAGGAGGAUGGGACCAAGUUUACUGCCACUCCUUCUCUGGGUUUCCAUGCCCUAUCCCUGCCUCCUGAUCAGACAGGACCCAGGAGGAGAAGAAACUCUGCCACAUGGAACCCCCCACAAGCCAUCCCAUCCAGGAGGGGAAAUGCAGGGGACUCAGCAUGGAGAGAGCCUGGGAAGUGGAGAGAGCUUGGUGUGUAAUGCACCUGACUCCAGCAGGAAUGAGAGACAGAAAACCUUAGGGUAGAGUGUGAUUAACUUGUGGAGUUCACAGCUGCAGGAGAUGACUGGGGCAAACACCUCAGCAAAGCCCUCUGCCAGCUCCAUGGAGCAGUCUGGGGCUGUUGACUUCCAAGCGACUUCCUGCGUGUGUGAAAAUCUCCCUUAGACACACGCCCUGCCAGUCCCGAUCCUAAUUCAGAGCACGAGGGACAAAAACCUGCUCUCCACUGUUCUAGGGAUAUGGAGGGGGUGAGUUUCUGUAAAGGAAGAAAGCUAAUCACUCCUGAAAUUAGCUAUCCAAGCUGGGGCUCAGAAGAUCAUGAGCUUCAUCAGCUGCACUUUUUGGAAGGAUCUGUGAGGUGGAGCUGAACUGGCCCUCGCAAUAGUGGGAAAUGUUGGACAACAAAGCCUACGUCCCUCAUGGAGGCAGCAGCCCUUUCACAUGGGGCCGGUUGGGAAGCCCCAGAGUGUGUUAUCCUAGCUGGGCAUUGGCUUUGACUGGACACUUGGUUACCUGGCUGGGCUGGAGCGACACAUGCUGCUGAGCGAUGGCCCAAGCAGAAAAGGGCUAUUGGCUGGAGUUAAAGGUGACCUGCAAAGGGAUUUUGCUUUCUUUUAUGCUUGUUUUUUAUGUUAGAAAUUCUGGUCUAGUUUACCGUAGAAGACUCUACAGUGCCUGGGAGAACGAGUGAAGAGAGGACAUCCCAAGAAAAUGGAAAUUGAGCAAUUGGAAGGAGAAGGGAUUUUUGACCAGCCUAUUGUAAAACUUUUUGGUUUUUUAUUAAUACCUGUUUCAUUCCAGUACCUAUUCAACACCUGUGAAAAAAGAAAAUCAAUGUUAACGAUUAUAGGCAGCCCUGUUUGAAAAGCUUGCCUAACAGUGGGUUCCUCUGUCCAUAUUUAGGCACCUAAAUAAUUAUAUUAUUUAAUAUAUUAGGUAAUUUUUAGGUGCCUAAAUGUGGAUUUUGGAGCCAAGCUUUAGGCAUCUCAGCUCAAAAAUAUUGCAAUGAAGACUCACUAUCGAUAUCUCUAAGGCCCCAACAAGACAUCCAGCCUAGCCAGGGGAGAUGUGGCUUGACAUGCCUGACAUUUCAGAGGUAAAAAACAAGCAGCCAAAAAGACACAUGUAGUUACAAAAAAUAAAAUCUUUCCAGCCUUUGCUCUGCGUCACCAGGAAACAAAGACACAGGUCUGGUUUUGUUUUCCAAUCCACUGCAGGUCUCCUUUCAGCCAUAGAAUCCCAUCUCCGGAGCAAGGAGCCCAGGUAGAGUAGUAGUUUAGCAUGGGGGCUUGAACCCUGAGCUUUUUAGCUAGAGUUCUGGGAAUGAUGUUCACUCGACAUAAGCUCCACUGCUGUCCUUGCUGUCGGGUCCAUCUCUGGUCAAGGGGAGCUGGGACUGUGUUUGUAUUGUGAAUAAAAUAGACAAGGGGGGGAAAUAUCUUGGGUCUGUGUUCAGUUAUUUCUCUGCUAGAGACGGGAUUAGCCCCACUUUCCUAACAGCACCUUGCAGGGCAGAUUAGCAACACUGUGGUUAAACUGCUGGCCUAGAACUAAGGAGAUCUGGGUUUAAAUCCUGACUCUGCUACAGACUCCUUGGGUGUGUCUUUGGCUCCUUGGGUCCCAGUUCCCCACAAUGGGAAUAAUACUUCCCUGACUCUCAGGGAUGCUGUGUGGAGAACUUAAUGUCUGUGAGCUACUCAGGCAGUACAUAUUCCUAGCAAGAGCCAGUGGGUGUAAUGGGCGUAGCUACUCAACAGAAGUGUGCCAGUUUAUACCAGUUGAGGAUCUGAUACAAAGGGGCCUGAUUCCCCCACUGUGGUUGGAAAGUUAGCAGAAUAAGACAGUCUUAUUUCAGAAUAAGAGCUCUUAUGCCAGGGUUUGCGCUUAUUUAUCAAAACCAGUUUCAAUUCACACCUUGUUAUACUGGUGCAGCUUUUUGGUGUAGACAAGUCCUUGGUGACUUCAUACAUACAGACAGCAGCUUUCAAAGAGGACUCCUUUGGGCCUGAGUCUUAUUUACACUAAGAGCUUGUCUAAACCAGUUUAAUUAAAGGUGUGCAUAUAAACUCGUUUAGUUAAACCAGUGCAAACCCCUGUGUGGAUGCUCUUAUUUCAGUGUAAAGGCAGCUCAUGUCUAAACAUUAGUCACUUAAUAAAAAUCCCAUGAGAUUUGUUUCAGCAAAGGGGGUGAUGCUUACGUGAUGGUAACGUUAGCAGUCAGCAUGCAUGGUAUAGACACAGCAAUGCCAUGUCGAUGUCUGAAUUGCUCCCAAUAUUCACAGGUUAGAUCAUUUCAUGCAUGCUCACUUCAGCAUGCCCAAUGCUUCUGAUGACUCAUGAACACUUGAGGGCAGCAUAACUCAAGGAAAGUCCCUCAUUCAACACAUUAGGGAGCCCACUGACUUCAAUGAAGCUGUUCCCACACAUGAAGUUAGGGGUGUGCUAAAUACCUUGCUGAAUCAGGGUCAAAAAGAGGAUCUGAUUUAUAUAGCCAUAGAUUUUAAGGCCAGAAGGGGGCCAUUCUGAUCAUGUAGUUUCACCUGCAUCAUACCCGGGGAUUCCUGCAUCCAGUCCAUAACCUGCAGUAGAGUUAGAACAGAUCUUUCAAGGCAGGUUGGCACUGCAAAUUAAGGUGUGAUGGCAGCUUGGGAAGGCAUACCCAUGCUGGCUUCAGUUUAGCUAGCAUGGCUAACAGUUGCAAUGAAGACAUGGCAGCCCCAGUACAAGCCCACUAUGAAUUGGCUAGCCUGCCCCAGGGUCUGGGCUGCCAUGCCUUCACAGCUGUUGUUACCCACUCUAGCUAAAUUAAAGCUAGCACCGAGUCUGUUUACCCAGGCUGUAAUUACACCACCAAUUUCAGGGUUGACGUACCCUUAACAAGAGACACCCAGUCUUGAUUUAAAGACUCCGAGUGAUGGAGGAUCCACUGCGUCCUUCAGGAAGCUGUUCCAAUGGGUUAAAAAUGCGCACCUCAUUUUCAGUUUGAACCCUGCCAACUUCAACUUUCAGCCGUUGGAUUUCAAUUUGCCUUGAGACGGCAUAGACCAUGAUCACUGUUUCUCUUAACCCUCCCUUCAGUAAGCUAAACAGAUGGUGCUCCUUUGGCAUCCCAUUAUAAGGCCUCUUUUCCAGGCCUUGCAUCAUUCUUGUAGCUCUUCUCUACAUCCUCCGUGACCAUUCAACAUGUGUGGACACCAGAACUGGACACAGCAUCCCAGCAGUGAUCUUGCUAAUGCUACAUGUCAGAUAAUAUCACAUCCCUACACCUACUUGCUACUCCUGUUCAUGCAUUCAAGGAUCUCAUUAGCCCUUUUAGCAAUAACAUCACACUGGGAGCUCAUGGUAAAGUCAUUUUCAAAGACACUGCUUCUCAGGGAACAGAGAUUGGAUCUUUAAUUAUUUGUCCAAGAAAGAUCAAGAAUAUUGAAUGAAGGUGAUGUCCCUUCGCGUUAACACAGAGAUUCUUCUGUUUCCAGAAGGGUGAAUCAUAACUAGAACCAGUAGAAAUGUUUCGUUCCAGUUUUCUGCCAGUGAAGUUCCAUUUUUGAAAGACAGAAAUUUUCUCAAAAGUAUUUUGACAUUCUCAAAAUUAUCAAUUUUUUUGAAAAUUUUUGGUGGAAACAUUUUCAUUUAGCAGUAAGUAUUUUCCAUUUUCAUUUACUUUUUUGUUUGUUUUUCAGAUUUUAUUUCCCACUGAGGGGUGGGAAGGAGUUAUUUUCCCCUCAUUGCAAUUUUUGAUUGGCCAGCUUAAUCAUAGAGUCAUAGAAUAUAAGGGUUGGAAGGGACCUCAGGUGGUCACCUAGUCCAACCCCCUACUCAAAGCAGGACCAAUCCCCAACUAAAUCAUCCCAGCC
This is an RNA transcript of Chelonia mydas (Green sea turtle), 6785 nucleotides long. It is a transcript of the gene named zinc finger protein 436, with no coding region annotated. NCBI's taxonomy places the organism in Eukaryota, Metazoa, Chordata, Testudines, Cheloniidae. The transcript has 4 exons. The record is from RefSeq and is a predicted model, not a curated record.